AUUACAUUAAUCACGAUACCUAUAUAUUCAUAGACCCUGCACAAUCUGUGACCUAAAUCAACAAGACUACCAAGCAGAACUAUCUUCAGGUACAAAGUCCUUAACAGAAGGGAAAAAGAAAAGUUUUUUUUGUGGGAAGAACUUUUAUUUAGCAGGUUUGCAGAAUCAUUUUGUCACUGCUCUCCUUCAUCUCCCAGUAGGCUGAGCUGCCUGGUUGAUCCGUCCAGGGGGACGGGUGUCAGACCAGUGCAGGUGUCAGUGGCUGCCGGUGAGUGAUUGCACCAUCAGCCUCCCACUGUGAUCUAUCAUGCGGGCCAGGCCAGUGAAGAAUCACAGCUACAGCAAGGUGCUGAGCCCAGCAACAUAUCAUUAAACAAGGUUACAAGGAGCAGAUUUGUUCCUAUGAUCAAUCUGGUCAACAAUGGUUCCACUUUACUGUUUUUUCAGCAAAGCGUAAACAGUGAACCUGUAUGUUUAGAAGAUGUCACGAUUGGCAGAAGAGAGGAAGUGGGGCUGCACCCAACUCAUUGAUCAACUUCAGGGAGGAGUGAUUUUGAAGAGAAUGAGAGAGUCCGAUAUUAAGCUAUGUUGGAUGAGAAUAAUGAAUUAACCUGCUCCAUUUCUGAAGCAGCCUCCUCCAGUCACUCCCUUAAUGUGAUCUAAUACCUGCUCAGCAAUCAGUAUGAAACUUGGCAUUGCUCGCUUAAACUGACCCGCCAGCACCUCCAGGCCACAAACAGAUGCCUCUGAUGAAUUCAAGCUCUGUGUGCAACAUCGCAACUCAAAGGGUUCCUCAUCUCCUUUGAAACUCCCUGCAUUUAGAACAAUCUUAAAAUAUCAUGUGAAGUGCCAUUGGGUUAUAGACUGGGUGGAUGAAUCAUUGCACUUUAACUUGUAAAUGGGAAAUGCACAACACCAAGUAGUUUGAGAUGUGAUACAAUGGAAACGUUUUAUUUUGGCAUUAACUCUUAAUUGUUUUCAUAUAGUAAGAUUGUGGCUCGUGCUUUCAUGUUGCUUUACAAAUUUAUUUCCUUUGAAAUACUAAAAAUGGCUCGCGUUCUUAUGCUGUGGAAUUAAAUGGUAAGGCACUCCUACCCCACGAGAGACAGCAAUCAUUUUGCUGAAGGCCACCUAUGAUGGACUUUGCAUGGGAUUUGCACUCAAAAUGGGGACUUACCUUUGUUGCAUUUAUAUCAACAGGAAUGAUAUACUGAAUGCGAUAGUUCUUCAUUUCCACAGUGCAUAAUCAUGAUCCUCUCCACACUAGAACACAAAAGUAGGAAAAAAAAAUCCCUUUAACAAUGGCUGCAUAACAGAGUCCCUGCACACACACCUUGUGCCUGGAGAACGCACACAGGGUCUAUUACAGUCAUUUGAAUAAACCGACCCCAUCGAAUCUGAUGAGGUCAGCUCUCCCACUCUACCUACAAAAAUGCCCCUGCCCUUAUAUGCUGUCAUCCAUUUUAUUUCCAGUUAAAUGAACUGUAAUGGUUAUAUGGCAUCCACACAUUACUAUGUACAAUGUUGCUAUUACUGGGUAUUUAAUAUUCUGCAUUGACUCUGCUGUAAUGUGGGUACAAAGCUAAAAGUUCUCACCAUCAGCUUGAACGGACCCUUGUGAUUGUGUGAGGGCACUUGGGUUAAUGACACCAAGGGGGAGUCUUAGUUGAUCUAAUUAUUAACUUUCUUUUGCCAUUUAUUUUCGCAGAGAAAAUAUUAUGAUUAACCCCGACUGUCUUCUGCAGUGCUGCAUUCACUUUAAUGGGACCAUUUUUUUCGAAACCCAUUGGCCUCGUCAGACGCAAAAUCAUUUUAUACUUAAUGAUUUUAGUAUCAGAAAUUCACUCGAUAAAGAAAUUGAGUUAAAUGCUAUUAUUUCUCCAACUUGGUUGAAAUAUUAAUAUGUC
Leucoraja erinaceus (little skate) is the source of this 1907-nucleotide long non-coding RNA. RefSeq lists it as uncharacterized. NCBI's taxonomy places the organism in Eukaryota, Metazoa, Chordata, Chondrichthyes, Rajiformes, Rajidae. The transcript is spliced from 3 exons. The record is from RefSeq and is a predicted model, not a curated record.